Molecule: long non-coding RNA, 1554 nt
Organism: Anolis carolinensis (green anole)
Lineage: Eukaryota; Metazoa; Chordata; Lepidosauria; Squamata; Anolidae
Exons: 3
Source: RefSeq, a predicted model, not a curated record
GGCAAAGCUAAAAUGUACUCAUUUGAAAGUACACGUGGAAGCUAGAGUACAGCUGUAUUAAAUGGAGAUGGUUAUCGGCAAAUUCCCUAAUACAAGAAAAUGGAACAUCUCAAGCACUUAAAUCAACAAGUGGGCACUGUACUCUUUAGGAGGACAACCUUCACCAUCCUGGAUCUAUACUAUGGAACUUACCAUGGAAACAGGAUACCAUGGAUAAUAGUGAAUCCCACUGAAAUGAACAACUUCGAGCACAGAGUCACCCUGGAUAACUAAGAAAAUUCCAGGAAAGAACGUAUUUUGUUGAAUGCGGUCGGUGAAAGGAAUCUCAAAUAUCAAGUGUAGGUGGAGGGGAGAACUGAAUCAAAAUAUCUGAAGCAAGGCAAAUGAGUGCUGGUCAAAUUAAUGUACAUCUAACAGCUCAGGUAAUUCUUUCUUUACCUAGUUCUCCACUGUCAUGAAGAACCCUGCACAUUUUUGGUUUUCUAGAUGCUGAGAUGAGAAAACUGAAAAAGAAAGCCUGAAUUAAACUGGAACUUAUUAGACUGCAAUUUGUUCUAGCAACAAGCUUAUUUUUAUGUCUUUCUACAAAACAGUGGUUUGUUUUUGUUUUGUUUUUUGCAAAAACUAGAGCCAAAUCAACAAAAAGAAUUUUCACAAUGCUAGGAGAGCUCAUUAAAAUACCCAACCUUUCAUGCAACCAAGAACAAAACAGCUGAAAAGGGAGAUUUAUCACAGCAAAAUCAGUUAAAAUGCCACAGAACCCUAUUUAGGUUCUGUGUGUCCAAUCACCAGUUACAAUAUGUUUCCUGUAAAGGCAGCAAUCAAUAAAAUGUGGAACCCCCACUGUUUUCUGGCAAACCAUUAACUGUUGUUGACUUUGAAUGUUUUCUGGUAAAACAUUAGUUGUCAAGUUGAUUUUGACUUAUGGCAGACUGCAUUAUCAACAGUUCUGCUCAGGUCUUGCAAAUUCGGGGUCAUGGCUAUCCAUCAGUAAUGUGCUCUGCUCCUACUGCUUUCUACCUUACGAAGCAUUAUUGUCUAAGGAGAAAACAUUUAUUCUGGAUUCCAGUUCCAGCUAAUAUUUGCUGUAUCUAUCAGGACAUAACAGGCUUUUAGAACAUAGUCAGUGAUGUUCUUUGGUGUCUACUGCCAUCCCUUCACACUCUGCAUGGCUAUGUCAGGACAGGCAUGAAAAAUGUGAGAGGAAAUGUUUCCUCACUGAAAAACUUCUAAAAAUGCAGUAUUCAAAGACCUUCCAACAACAAGAACAAAAUUGGUUCAAUUAUAUGUUAUGCUUAGUGGGAAUGAGAAAAUGAAAUACGAGGUAAGCACAUCACUGCUCUGGAUAUGCCACUCCAUCCUGCCCAGUGAUCCUCCACAGGCUGUGCCCAUGUCAGGUCCCAGACAUGCUGCAUGGUUCAUUAGAGCCUCAAGACUAAUUGUACAUAAGAACCUCCAAGACAUUUGACACAUGAAUGCAUUCAUAAUUUCUGCCCACUUCACAUAAAACUGAUAUUAUUAUGUCCAUAACGCAAUAUUACCCAUUCUGUUACU